Molecule: ribosomal RNA, 449 nt
Filed under: uncultured bacterium
Lineage: Bacteria
Description: partial 16S ribosomal RNA
Rfam family: Bacterial small subunit ribosomal RNA
Source: RNAcentral
AACGAACGCUGGCGGCAGGCUUAAUACAUGCAAGUCGAACGCCCCUUUCGGGGGGAGUGGCAGACGGGUGAGUAACGCGUGGGAACGUGCCCAAAGGUAGGCAACAACUCCGGGAAACUGGAGCUAAUACCGUAUGAGCCCGAGAUGGGAAGGAUUUAUCGCCUUUGGAUCGGCCCGCGUUGGAUUAGCUAGUUGGUGGGGUAAAAGCCUACCAAGGCGACGAUCCAUAGCUGUGCUGCGAGGAGGAUCAGCCACACUGGGACUGAGACACGGCCCAGACUCCUACGGGAGUCAGCAGUAGGGAAUCUUGGACAAUGGGCGCAAGCCUGGUCCAGCCAUGCCGCGUGAGUGAUGAAGGCCUUAGGGUUGUAAAACUCUUUCGCAGGUGACGAUAAUGACGGUAACCUGAGAAGAAGCCCCGGCUAACUUCGUGCCAGCAGCCGCCGUAA